AAUAGAGAAGUAAAUUACAUUUAGUUUCGACCUAAAAAUUUAAGAAUAACCAUUCUUCCUAUUU
This 64-nucleotide transfer RNA is filed under the name Cosmoscarta dorsimacula. Its description in RNAcentral is "tRNA-Arg". The record is from RNAcentral. Lineage: Eukaryota; Metazoa; Arthropoda; Insecta; Hemiptera; Cercopidae.